Molecule: ribosomal RNA, 253 nt
Filed under: uncultured bacterium
Lineage: Bacteria
Description: partial 16S ribosomal RNA
Rfam family: Bacterial small subunit ribosomal RNA
Source: RNAcentral
UACGUAGGGGGCGAGCGUUGUCCGGAAUCAUUGGGCGUAAAGCGCGUGUAGGCGGCCCGGUAAGUCCGCUGUGAAAGUCCAGGGCUCAACCCUGGGAUGCCGGUGGAUACUGUCGGGCUCGAGUCCGGAAGAGGCGAGUGGAAUUCCUGGUGUAGCGGUGGAAUGCGCAGAUAUCAGGAGGAACACCGAUGGCGAAGGCAGCUCGCUGGGACGGUACUGACGCUGAGGCGCGAAAGCGUGGGGAGCGAACAGG